Non-coding RNA from Cordylochernes scorpioides, 13755 nucleotides. The record is from the annotation of a GenBank genome assembly. NCBI's taxonomy places the organism in Eukaryota, Metazoa, Arthropoda, Arachnida, Pseudoscorpiones, Chernetidae.
UUAUAUUGGUGAUUUAGCGUAAACGUAAACAAAGAAAUAAGGACAAAGUUACGCUCCAAUGGUGCUCAAUAAUUUAGCUACGUAUUAUUAUUUUAUUUUCACAAAUAAAUAUGUACUAAUAUGCAAUUAUAUAGUACUAAUUAUAUUUAGCAACAUGUUUUAAUUUUUACUUAAUAAAAAACUAAGAUUACAAAUGCUAAGCUUAAGCUUCGCUGUUUCUAUUUUUUCUUGGAUCCACAUAAUGCUUCCUUCGCCACCAAUACUCCGAAAGAUAAAAUUCAAGAGAAUCUUUAGCUUUCCUUUUCCCCACGUGUAAUUUUUUUGCUGCGCCCCAGGUGGCCUCGAUAUUAUUCGUAUUUGCUCCCGUUUCCGGGUCUUUAAAAUGUAGUUUGUGGUUAACCACAAGGUGGUCGAAACCUUCUUGAUUCAGCCUGUAGUAGGACAAUCUUGUUGAAGUUAUUACUGCAAGGCCAGGAGAGCACGAUAUGCAUCUGAAAGUUCUAUUUUCGGUUAAUACUGUUGUCUGUGGGAUUCUAUUGACUCGAGAACUAAUCGUUGGUGCUGGUUAUGAAUGUGUCUGUAAUGUAUAGUGGGGUGGUUGGUGUUAAAAGGAUGGCCAGUAUUGAGAAUGUGCUGAUAAAGGAGGGACCUGGUGUCUCGAUUGGAGAUGUUUCGAGAAUGUUCAGACAUUCUGAUGGCGAUGGGUCUACCUGUCUCGCCAACGUAUGUGGCAGAGCAUUGCUCACACGAGACAAUAGACCACGCCAACAGAAUGGAGGGGAUCCUGGGGGGCAUGCGAUUUAGUAUAUGGGUGACGGAGGGAUGUGAGCAGGUUGGAGGAGUUCUUAUAUAUGGUGUGGAUACCGUAUGUCUUGAGGCUUCUAGCUAUAUCAACUGAGGAGGGGGAGUAGGGCAGGAAGUGGCGAGUGUUGGUGUUCUUCCCACACACGGACAACAAGAAGCAGAGGCAGGGCUGGAUUGUUAACACAGAGUGAUCGGGAACAGCCCACGGGACAGAGGUAGAGGCCAUGACACAAACUUGGAUGCUUAUCACCGAGACCUGGAGGGAGAGACUGUGUGAGAGACAUAUAUAUAUUUUAGAAGAAACACGACUAAACAUUUUUGAAUAGAGUAUCGAAAUUUCUGAUUUAUUUGUGAAAAAUAUAUUGAAGCGGAUGUAUGUAAGUUUUUCUUUUAUAGCUAUUUUCAAUGUAAAGGAAAUAAAUAAUCAAGAAUGUAUGUCUCGUUAGUUUUUAUUUUUAACCAACGUCUCAUUUUUACAAAGUCGUCAUGUAAAACAAUGCUAAGUGAUGAUGAUCAUUGGAAUAAAGUUCUAUGAAAAAUUAAAUAUGAGAAUAAUAAUUUUGAGAUGUUUACAGCACGUAUCAAUAUAAUUAUAUUAAAUAUAUAAUUAUAUAUUUAUUAGAAAUUAAAUAUUUGUGUAACGGCGAGCUGGGCCCUGUCUCCGCCACACUUCUCCAGCAUGGCUUUGAUCACCUUGUUGGGGUCGAAGCCGGAGUACUGGUGGAGCUCCCCAUAUGCCCCCAACUCCAUGGCAUAGGCGGGCAUGGUCUUUGAGACAUAGGCCGCGAUCCAUGCCACGGGGUUCUCGUCGAAGCCCUUCACCUCGGCUUCCGUGGGUUUUUUUUUAUUAGAUCCACGAUCUCAGUGGGGGUCAUCUUGGAGAGGGUCUUGGCCCACUCUUCGUCGGUUUGGCCACCGCGGCCGGCCUUGGUUUUUUUCUGUGAAGACAUUCCAACUGAUUUGACUAGACUGACUAGAUGGGAAGCUAGGCUCUUGCUCUAUGUACUGCAAAAAAAUUAGUUCCCCACUUUGUGUCGUUCUAGUCAAUUGAGAAAUUCCUGAAUGGUUGAAUUUCUGGUGGGCUUCUCUAAGUAUGGUGGGUCGUAAGGAUGGCGGAACAACUAUUUUGCUCACACCACGUCUGGUGACGGUAGUCAGGCCUGAGAUUUGGUGAACAUACUUGGGAUUAUCCCGAAGCUCGCUUUGGUACAUUUUUAAUUGCGUGGCGUCAAGAAGGCCACAAAACGGAUUUCGGGGAAAAGGUCAGCCUCUAGUUGUUUGGUGCCUUUGAUGUAUUUCACCUGAUAGUCGUAGACUGACAAUCUCAAACUCCAUCGAAAGAGUCUUCCUGUUGGAUUUUUGAUGUUUUUAAGCCACUGUAAGGCGCAAUGAUCGGUGAAAAUGGUAAAAUAAUUUCCCGCCAGAUAGACCUUGAAACGAUCUACUGUUUCAAUUAUGGUCAGACACUCUAAUUCGGUGAUGGUAUAAUUGCGCUCGUAUUUGUGCAGAGUGCGGCUAUAAUAUUGUACUGGAUAUGAGUUUCCAUCUGGAGAGAUGGAGCUGUUUCAGUACUCCUCCUAUCCCUUGCAAAGAUGCAUCAGAGUACACUUGACAGGGCAAAUCUGAUUUAUAAAGAUGGAGAAUGGGACCUGAUGAAAGUAGUUGUUUGAGUUUGUCAAACGCCUUUUGACAGUCUGACGUCCAUUCCCAUUUAACGUUCUUUUUCAAAAGUUGAUUUAGAGGAUUUCUAACGCACGCAUAAUCUGGAAUGAAUUUGUUGUAAACAUUAAUGGCGCCUAGGAAAAAUAACUUAUCUUAUUUGGUGCUUUAGUUGGAUGGCUGGAAAAUUUCUUCCACUAAAAUCUUGAAAAACUACAUUUUUGGACUAAUUUCUCAGGAGCUCUGUUUGAACUCCCCACUGCUAAAUUUGGAUUCACUUCAUUUGCUUUUUUACAAUUAAGGCAAUUCGCUGCCCUCUGGCAGUCCUUUGAUAGGUGUCCAUGAGCACCACAUCUAGCGCAAUUAUGGCCUUCAGCAAUACAAGUCUUUGUCUUGUGAAAUCCAAGGCAUUUUGCGUAUCGAUUUACCAAAAAAAUUUCAAACCACUUCAAAACCCUCCACCCAAAUUUGAGGCGAAAAAUGCCAUUUUCAAGAGUAGAUUGAAUUUUUAAUUUUUUAAAUGAUAAAGAAUCAAUUGAUGCCAAAUAAUCUAUUUUAUUAUAUAUAUAUAUAUAUUUUUGCGCUAAAAAGAUUUAUUUCAAUAUUUUCAUGUUUUAAACUUGAUGAAUGACUUGAAUGAAAUUAUUGAGGGUGUCCGCAAGGUUCUUCACCUCCCCAACUAGGCACUUGAUCAUCUCUGUCCGCUGCUCAAUGAAGCAGGCAAGGUUCAGAUGAAGGGAUUUGAGGGAAAGCUGCCAGAGGGAGUGCAGGAUCUGGUAGUGGUGGGAGAUACCAUGUCCUCCUCCACCAGAGGUGCAAUGUCCACCGAGGGUUGAAAAGGCUUGGAGGGAUCCAUGAUGGGAGAGCAGAAAGGCAGAGGUGUUUCCAGAGCAUGAGCUAGCUGGAAACUGAUCUCUGAGAAACGGAUGAGAUGAUCUGAUUAUACAAGGUCAUGGAGACUGAAAAUUCAUGGAUUAAAUUUAUAAUCUUGGUAGGGUUGUAAUAUAAGUCCUGUCUUGAGGCUCCCAUACAUUCCAAGAGGUGUCCUGCAGAUGGUGCAUUGUGGGAAGACACCAACCUGGAAAAGGAGCGAUUCUUUCUAUUCCGGGUUAAUUGGCCUUUUAAAGCAUGGUCUUCAAACCCCUAUGGCAGAACGCCAUUUCCAGUUGCAAGGGACCCUAGGAUCUGGAAGCAAAGAUGUCUCGCAGGGGUGGAGGAAACGUAGAGAUGGCAGGGGAACAGCGUCUGGGAGCAGUGAGUGGCAGGAGUCUUGGCUGGGGAGGAAAUCCAGUAGGUGAGGACAGUGAAGGCAGCAGGUCCUGGAAGCUUAGAAUUUGAGAGCCCUAGACCUCAGGAAAGAGCAGCCAGAGGCUCUCGCCUCUUGUUUGUCCGGAAGGCCCUUGGCACAGCAGUUGGCACACUUGGUGGUGUGCUGGUUGGCUAGGGAUGGACAGGCACGGCCCUCGUGACCUUCUUCACCGCAGUGGAAGCACUUUGGAGCCCUGGAGCAUUGUCCGGAGUUGUGACCAAAAUAACAAUUUUGUCAUCAAAGUUCUGUUUUAGAUUAUUGAGUUUGAAAGCCAAAUUUCCUUAAUUACUUAUGUUGGCCUCAAGGUCUACAUUUGUAUCAAAUUUAUGUGUCAAAUUCUUGUAACAGCUUAAUUGUUCAUCAUCUCUUUCAAAUAUUCUGCAUAUGGCGUCAUACAUUGAUUUGGCAUUUUCAAAAUGUAUUAUGUGCUGCUCAUCCAGCCUUCAGCGCCUGGAGCACGAGGCGUACUCAAGAGGCCUGGUCAGCAGUCUUGAAUUUGGACGUAUUCACCUCCGGGCCUUCCAUCGCCUAAAGGUCAUUAGCGGUUGCCGCCCAGGUGUUAGGGACGGCAGCACCUCGAAAAAUGAAAUUCCGCCUCUAGAAUCCUGCUUAAUGUGAGGUCGUCGACUGUGGGAGCGUUGUCGAGCCCACCCUGCUCGGGAAUUCCGAGCACUUGCUCUAUAUCUAGUGGUGAGAGGUGAGAAAGUUCGCCUGGCAUACACACAUCCUGUGGUGAUCCGAGAACAUGCAUCAAAUCGUCCGCUGAAAGUUCUUCCAUACAGAUAUCUCCCGAUGGUCCGAGAUAUUGUUCCAAUUAAUUGAGCGCACUUGCCUCCAAGCGUAGACACCUAAAAAAAAAAAAUAAUAAAUAUAUAUAUCAGGUUAAUUCCAUUCCAAAUGAAAAAAACAUUAGCGUAUUGGUUAACUCCAUUGCUCUAAUGUUUUUUUUUUUUUUUUUUGUUUUUGUUUUGCUAGGUUCAAAUCUCAUUACCCGGUCCCAGCUCAUAAAAACUUUAUGAUCUUCUUCAGUAUAAUUAGGAUUCUUUCUUCUGUCAAUAAAUUUAAUUUGAAAUAAUGAAAAUUUCUUCAGCCAUUUUAAAUUUUGCCCAAAAGUUUCAAGAUUGAGAUGUUUUUUGAUGAAGUCAUUAAACAAAAAGGUUUUCUUCUGUUUCUUGGUUGUGUACAUGUGUCACAUUUGUGUGAGAACCUGGUAGGCGUGGGGUGUCAGAUGGGCUUACCACCAGAGCAUCGUGUUUGUGUCACGUGUUACACAGUGUGCAUCAGCGACCUGGUUGUUAUUACCAGGAGGUAAACAAACCUGGUCACGUGACAACGUGUGCAGAAACAUGCGCAAUAGGAUGGCCAAACUCGUCGAGACGAGUGGCAGAACAAGGACGCAUGUCACGUGACCAAACAGACAUGGGUGCAAUAACCUGGUCGAUCGCCGGGCCGCGUGGCUCGCCGCUGGUCCCCGAGUCAUGUGACCGCGCAGGCGUGAUUUCCGCUGUGUCAAGUACGAGACUUGGCAACGUGGAAAUCCCACCAGAAGCACUGUCCCGCGAACAGGGCCCAGCAGAAGUGCCAGGCCAAGAAAUUGGUGAAAUAAUUGCCUGCAUUUAAAAAUAUAUAAUAAAUAAUCAAAAUUGAUUUCUCCUCUUUAAUUUCUUUUAUUUUAUGCAGGGCUUUUCUGAACCGGGCUUUGCUUGAUUUGAAAUAAGUUGUGGACUUACCAACUUUAUGUCCUUUUACCCGGUCCCAGCUCAUAAAAACUUUAUGAUCUUCUUUAGUAUAGGUAGUAUUUUUUCUUGUGUCAAUAUAUUUAACUUGAAAUAUUAUAUUUUUCUUCAGCCAUUUCAAUUUUUUCCCAAAAUUUCCAAGAUUAAGAUGUUUUCUUAGGAAAUCAUUAUACAAUAAUGUUGGAAGAAAACGGCUCCUGGGCCGCUGGCUGAGUCGAGUGUUCUGGCUCCUCCAGGGCCGCGGUGUCGCUUCCUGGUGUCUUCUUGCUCCUCGUAGAUGGUGCGCUCUUUUGGGCCAGUUUUUCAACCGUAGAGCAAUCCUGGUGGUGUUUCUGCAGGUCUUUGAAGCUUUGUUGGCAGACCGUGCAGUCAAAAACCACGUUGUUGAUCUUGUGUAGAACACGAAGGUGCUUCACCAGAUCGUUGUGCUGCUUGUAGACACCACUGCGGGUUACUCUCGCCAUCCCGUAACACUCGGGACAUUUAAAGACCUCAGGUAGCUGGAACGGCAUCUUAAACGGAUCACAAAGAGCAGGGGCAAGGUUGUGUACAUGUGUCACAUUUGUGUGAGAACCUGGUAGGCGUGUGGUGUCAGAUGGGCUUACCACCAGAGCAUCGUGUUUGUGUCACGUGUUACACAGUGUGCAUCAGCGACCUGGUUGUUAUUACCAGGAGGUAAACAAACCUGGUCACGUGACAACGUGUGCAGAAACAUGCGCAAUAGGAUGGCCAAACUCGUCGAGACGAGUGGCAGAACAAGGACGCAUGUCACGUGACCAAACAGACAUGGGUGCAAUAACCUGGUCGAUCGCCGGGCCGCGUGGCUCGCCGCUGGUCCCCGAGUCAUGUGACCGCGCAGGCGUGAUUUCCGCUGUGUCAAGUACGAGACUUGGCAACGUGGAAAUCCCACCAGAAGCACUGUCCCGCGAACAGGGCCCAGCAGAAGUGCCAGGCCAAGAAAUUGGUGAAAUAAUUGCCUGCAUUUAAAAAUAUAUAAUAAAUAAUCAAAAUUGAUUUCUCCUCUUUAAUUUCUUUUAUUUUAUGCAGGGCUUUUCUGAACCGGGCUUUGCUUGAUUUGAAAUAAGUUGUGGACUUACCAACUUUAUGUCCUUUUACCCGGUCCCAGCUCAUAAAAACUUUAUGAUCUUCUUCAGUAUAAUUAGGAUUCUUUCUUCUGUCAAUAAAUUUAAUUUGAAAUAAUGAAAAUUUCCUCAGCCAUUUUAAAUUUGUGCUAAUGAAGUCAUUAGCGGUUGCCGCCCAGGUGUUAGGGACGGCAGCACCUCGAAAAAUGAAAUUCCGCCUCUAGAAUCCUGCUUAAUGUGAGGUCGUCGACUGUGGGAGCGUUGUCGAGCCCACCCUGCUCGGGAAUUCCGAGCACUUGCUCUAUAUCUAGUGGUGAGAGGUGAGAAAGUUCGCCUGGCAUACACACAUCCUGUGGUGAUCCGAGAACAUGCAUCAAAUCGUCCGCUGAAAGUUCUUCCAUACAGAUAUCUCCCGAUGGUCCGAGAUAUUGUUCCAAUUAAUUGAGCGCACUUGCCUCCAAGCGUAGACACCUAAAAAAAAAAAUAAUAAAUAUAUAUAUCAGGUUAAUUCCAUUCCAAAUGAAAAAAACAUUAGCGUAUUGGUUAACUCCAUUGCUCUAAUGUUUUUUUUUUUUUUUUUUUUUUUGUUUUGCUAGGUUCAAAUCUCAUUACCCGGUCCCAGCUCAUAAAAACUUUAUGAUCUUCUUCAGUAUAAUUAGGAUUCUUUCUUCUGUCAAUAAAUUUAAUUUGAAAUAAUGAAAAUUUCUUCAGCCAUUUUAAAUUUUGCCCAAAAGUUUCAAGAUUGAGAUGUUUUUUGAUGAAGUCAUUAAACAAAAAGGUUUUCUUCUGUUUCUUGGUUGUGUACAUGUGUCACAUUUGUGUGAGAACCUGGUAGGCGUGUGGUGUCAGAUGGGCUUACCACCAGAGCAUCGUGUUUGUGUCACGUGUUACACAGUGUGCAUCAGCGACCUGGUUGUUAUUACCAGGAGGUAAACAAACCUGGUCACGUGACAACGUGUGCAGAAACAUGCGCAAUAGGAUGGCCAAACUCGUCGAGACGAGCGGCAGAACAAGGACGCAUGUCACGUGACCAAACAGACAUGGGUGCAAUAACCUGGUCGAUCGCCGGGCCGCGUGGCUCGCCGCUGGUCCCCGAGUCAUGUGACCGCGCAGGCGUGAUUUCCGCUGUGUCAAGUACGAGACUUGGCAACGUGGAAAUACCACCAGAAGCACUGUCCCGCGAACAGGGCCCAGCAGAAGUGCCAGGCCAAGAAAUUGGUGAAAUAAUUGCCUGCAUUUAAAAAUAUAUAAUAAAUAAUCAAAAUUGAUUUCUCCUCUUUAAUUUCUUUUAUUUUAUGCAGGGCUUUUCUGAACCGGGCUUUGCUUGAUUUGAAAUAAGUUGUGGACUUACCAACUUUAUGUCCUUUUACCCGGUCCCAGCUCAUAAAAACUUUAUGAUCUUCUUUAGUAUAGGUAGUAUUUUUUCUUGUGUCAAUAUAUUUAACUUGAAAUAUUAUAUUUUUCUUCAGCCAUUUCAAUUUUUUCCCAAAAUUUCCAAGUUUAAGAUGUCUUAGGAAAUCAUUAUACAAUAAUGUUGGAAGAAAACGGCUCCUGGGCCGCUGGCUGAGUCGAGUGUUCUGGCUCCUCCAGGGCCGCGGUGUCGCUUCCUGGUGUCUUCUUGCUCCUCGUAGAUGGUGCGCUCUUUUGGGCCAGUUUUUCAACCGUAGAGCAAUCCUGGUGGUGUUUCUGCAGGUCUUUGAAGCUUUGUUGGCAGACCGUGCAGUCAAAAACCACGUUGUUGAUCUUGUGUAGAACACGAAGGUGCUUCACCAGAUCGUUGUGCUGCUUGUAGACACCACUGCGGGUUACUCUCGCCAUCCCGUAACACUCGGGACAUUUAAAGACCUCAGGUAGCUGGAACGGCAUCUUAAACGGAUCACAAAGAGCAGGGGCAAGGUUGUGUACAUGUGUCACAUUUGUGUGAGAACCUGGUAGGCGUGUGGUGUCAGAUGGGCUUACCACCAGAGCAUCGUGUUUGUGUCACGUGUUACACAGUGUGCAUCAGCGACCUGGUUGUUAUUACCAGGAGGUAAACAAACCUGGUCACGUGACAACGUGUGCAGAAACAUGCGCAAUAGGAUGGCCAAACUCGUCGAGACGAGUGGCAGAACAAGGACGCAUGUCACGUGACCAAACAGACAUGGGUGCAAUAACCUGGUCGAUCGCCGGGCCGCGUGGCUCGCCGCUGGUCCCCGAGUCAUGUGACCGCGCAGGCGUGAUUUCCGCUGUGUCAAGUACGAGACUUGGCAACGUGGAAAUCCCACCAGAAGCACUGUCCCGCGAACAGGGCCCAGCAGAAGUGCCAGGCCAAGAAAUUGGUGAAAUAAUUGCCUGCAUUUAAAAAUAUAUAAUAAAUAAUCAAAAUUGAUUUCUCCUCUUUAAUUUCUUUUAUUUUAUGCAGGGCUUUUCUGAACCGGGCUUUGCUUGAUUUGAAAUAAGUUGUGGACUUACCAACUUUAUGUCCUUUUACCCGGUCCCAGCUCAUAAAAACUUUAUGAUCUUCUUCAGUAUAAUUAGGAUUCUUUCUUCUGUCAAUAAAUUUAAUUUGAAAUAAUGAAAAUUUCCUCAGCCAUUUUAAAUUUGUGCUAAUGAAGUCAUUAGCGGUUGCCGCCCAGGUGUUAGGGACGGCAGCACCUCGAAAAAUGAAAUUCCGCCUCUAGAAUCCUGCUUAAUGUGAGGUCGUCGACUGUGGGAGCGUUGUCGAGCCCACCCUGCUCGGGAAUUCCGAGCACUUGCUCUAUAUCUAGUGGUGAGAGGUGAGAAAGUUCGCCUGGCAUACACACAUCCUGUGGUGAUCCGAGAACAUGCAUCAAAUCGUCCGCUGAAAGUUCUUCCAUACAGAUAUCUCCCGAUGGUCCGAGAUAUUGUUCCAAUUAAUUGAGCGCACUUGCCUCCAAGCGUAGACACCUAAAAAAAAAAAUAAUAAAUAUAUAUAUCAGGUUAAUUCCAUUCCAAAUGAAAAAAACAUUAGCGUAUUGGUUAACUCCAUUGCUCUAAUGUUUUUUUUUUUUUUUUUUUUUUGUUUUGCUAGGUUCAAAUCUCAUUACCCGGUCCCAGCUCAUAAAAACUUUAUGAUCUUCUUCAGUAUAAUUAGGAUUCUUUCUUCUGUCAAUAAAUUUAAUUUGAAAUAAUUAAAAUUUCUUCAGCCAUUUUAAAUUUUGCCCAAAAGUUUCAAGAUUGAGAUGUUUUUUGAUGAAGUCAUUAAACAAAAAGGUUUUCUUCUGUUUCUUGGUUGUGUACAUGUGUCACAUUUGUGUGAGAACCUGGUAGGCGUGUGGUGUCAGAUGGGCUUACCACCAGAGCAUCGUGUUUGUGUCACGUGUUACACAGUGUGCAUCAGCGACCUGGUUGUUAUUACCAGGAGGUAAACAAACCUGGUCACGUGACAACGUGUGCAGAAACAUGCGCAAUAGGAUGGCCAAACUCGUCGAGACGAGUGGCAGAACAAGGACGCAUGUCACGUGACCAAACAGACAUGGGUGCAAUAACCUGGUCGAUCGCCGGGCCGCGUGGCUCGCCGCUGGUCCCCGAGUCAUGUGACCGCGCAGGCGUGAUUUCCGCUGUGUCAAGUACGAGACUUGGCAACGUGGAAAUCCCACCAGAAGCACUGUCCCGCGAACAGGGCCCAGCAGAAGUGCCAGGCCAAGAAAUUGGUGAAAUAAUUGCCUGCAUUUAAAAAUAUAUAAUAAAUAAUCAAAAUUGAUUUCUCCUCUUUAAUUUCUUUUAUUUUAUGCAGGGCUUUUCUGAACCGGGCUUUGCUUGAUUUAAAUAAGUUGUGGACUUACCAACUUUAUGUCCUUUUACCCGGUCCCAGCUCAUAAAAACUUUAUGAUCUUCUUUAGUAUAGGUAGUAUUUUUUCUUGUGUCAAUAUAUUUAACUUGAAAUAUUAUAUUUUUCUUCAGCCAUUUCAAUUUUUUCCCAAAAUUUCCAAGAUUAAGAUGUUUUCUUAGGAAAUCAUUAUACAAUAAUGUUGGAAGAAAACGGCUCCUGGGCCGCUGGCUGAGUCGAGUGUUCUGGCUCCUCCAGGGCCGCGGUGUCGCUUCCUGGUGUCUUCUUGCUCCUCGUAGAUGGUGCGCUCUUUUGGGCCAGUUUUUCAACCGUAGAGCAAUCCUGGUGGUGUUUCUGCAGGUCUUUGAAGCUUUGUUGGCAGACCGUGCAGUCAAAAACCACGUUGUUGAUCUUGUGUAGAACACGAAGGUGCUUCACCAGAUCGUUGUGCUGCUUGUAGACACCACUGCGGGUUACUCUCGCCAUCCCGUAACACUCGGGACAUUUAAAGACCUCAGGUAGCUGGAACGGCAUCCUAAACGGAUCACAAAGAGCAGGGGCAAGGUUGUGUACAUGUGUCACAUUUGUGUGAGAACCUGGUAGGCGUGUGGUGUCAGAUGGGCUUACCACCAGAGCAUCGUGUUUGUGUCACGUGUUACACAGUGUGCAUCAGCGACCUGGUUGUUAUUACCAGGAGGUAAACAAACCUGGUCACGUGACAACGUGUGCAGAAACAUGCGCAAUAAGAUGGCCAAACUCGUCGAGACGAGUGGCAGAACAAGGACGCAUGUCACGUGACCAAACAGACAUGGGUGCAAUAACCUGGUCGAUCGCCGGGCCGCGUGGCUCGCCGCUGGUCCCCGAGUCAUGUGACCGCGCAGGCGUGAUUUCCGCUGUGUCAAGUACGAGACUUGGCAACGUGGAAAUCCCACCAGAAGCACUGUCCCGCGAACAGGGCCCAGCAGAAGUGCCAGGCCAAGAAAUUGGUGAAAUAAUUGCCUGCAUUUAAAAAUAUAUAAUAAAUAAUCAAAAUUGAUUUCUCCUCUUUAAUUUCUUUUAUUUUAUGCAGGGCUUUUCUGAACCGGGCUUUGCUUGAUUUGAAAUAAGUUGUGGACUUACCAACUUUAUGUCCUUUUACCCGGUCCCAGCUCAUAAAAACUUUAUGAUCUUCUUCAGUAUAAUUAGGAUUCUUUCUUCUGUCAAUAAAUUUAAUUUGAAAUAAUGAAAAUUUCCUCAGCCAUUUUAAAUUUGUGCUAAUGAAGUCAUUAGCGGUUGCCGCCCAGGUGUUAGGGACGGCAGCACCUCGAAAAAUGAAAUUCCGCCUCUAGAAUCCUGCUUAAUGUGAGGUCGUCGACUGUGGGAGCGUUGUCGAGCCCACCCUGCUCGGGAAUUCCGAGCACUUGCUCUAUAUCUAGUGGUGAGAGGUGAGAAAGUUCGCCUGGCAUACACACAUCCUGUGGUGAUCCGAGAACAUGCAUCAAAUCGUCCGCUGAAAGUUCUUCCAUACAGAUAUCUCCCGAUGGUCCGAGAUAUUGUUCCAAUUAAUUGAGCGCACUUGCCUCCAAGCGUAGACACCUAAAAAAAAAAAAUAAUAAAUAUAUAUAUCAGGUUAAUUCCAUUCCAAAUGAAAAAAACAUUAGCGUAUUGGUUAACUCCAUUGCUCUAAUGUUUUUUUUUUUUUUUUUUUUUUUGUUUUGCUAGGUUCAAAUCUUAUUACCCGGUCCCAGCUCAUAAAAACUUUAUGAUCUUCUUCAGUAUAAUUAGGAUUCUUUCUUCUGUCAAUAAAUUUAAUUUGAAAUAAUGAAAAUUUCUUCAGCCAUUUUAAAUUUUGCCCAAAAGUUUCAAGAUUGAGAUGUUUUUUGAUGAAGUCAUUAAACAAAAAGGUUUUCUUCUGUUUCUUGGUUGUGUACAUGUGUCACAUUUGUGUGAGAACCUGGUAGGCGUGUGGUGUCAGAUGGGCUUACCACCAGAGCAUCGUGUUUGUGUCACGUGUUACACAGUGUGCAUCAGCGACCUGGUUGUUAUUACCAGGAGGUAAACAAACCUGGUCACGUGACAACGUGUGCAGAAACAUGCGCAAUAGGAUGGCCAAACUCGUCGAGACGAGUGGCAGAACAAGGACGCAUGUCACGUGACCAAACAGACAUGGGUGCAAUAACCUGGUCGAUCGCCGGGCCGCGUGGCUCGCCGCUGGUCCCCGAGUCAUGUGACCGCGCAGGCGUGAUUUCCGCUGUGUCAAGUACGAGACUUGGCAACGUGGAAAUCCCACCAGAAGCACUGUCCCGCGAACAGGGCCCAGCAGAAGUGCCAGGCCAAGAAAUUGGUGAAAUAAUUGCCUGCAUUUAAAAAUAUAUAAUAAAUAAUCAAAAUUGAUUUCUCCUCUUUAAUUUCUUUUAUUUUAUGCAGGGCUUUUCUGAACCGGGCUUUGCUUGAUUUGAAAUAAGUUGUGGACUUACCAACUUUAUGUCCUUUUACCCGGUCCCAGCUCAUAAAAACUUUAUGAUCUUCUUCAGUAUAAUUAGGAUUCUUUCUUCUGUCAAUAAAUUUAAUUUGAAAUAAUGAAAAUUUCCUCAGCCAUUUUAAAUUUGUGCUAAUGAAGUCAUUAGCGGUUGCCGCCCAGGUGUUAGGGACGGCAGCACCUCGAAAAAUGAAAUUCCGCCUCUAGAAUCCUGCUUAAUGUGAGGUCGUCGACUGUGGGAGCGUUGUCGAGCCCACCCUGCUCGGGAAUUCCGAGCACUUGCUCUAUAUCUAGUGGUGAGAGGUGAGAAAGUUCGCCUGGCAUACACACAUCCUGUGGUGAUCCGAGAACAUGCAUCAAAUCGUCCGCUGAAAGUUCUUCCAUACAGAUAUCUCCCGAUGGUCCGAGAUAUUGUUCCAAUUAAUUGAGCGCACUUGCCUCCAAGCGUAGACACCUAAAAAAAAAAAUAAUAAAUAUAUAUAUCAGGUUAAUUCCAUUCCAAAUGAAAAAAACAUUAGCGUAUUGGUUAACUCCAUUGCUCUAAUGUUUUUUUUUUUUUUUUUUUUUGUUUUGCUAGGUUCAAAUCUCAUUACCCGGUCCCAGCUCAUAAAAACUUUAUGAUCUUCUUCAGUAUAAUUAGGAUUCUUUCUUCUGUCAAUAAAUUUAAUUUGAAAUAAUUAAAAUUUCUUCAGCCAUUUUAAAUUUUGCCCAAAAGUUUCAAGAUUGAGAUGUUUUUUGAUGAAGUCAUUAAACAAAAAGGUUUUCUUCUGUUUCUUGGUUGUGUACAUGUGUCACAUUUGUGUGAGAACCUGGUAGGCGUGUGGUGUCAGAUGGGCUUACCACCAGAGCAUCGUGUUUGUGUCACGUGUUACACAGUGUGCAUCAGCGACCUGGUUGUUAUUACCAGGAGGUAAACAAACCUGGUCACGUGACGUGUG